RNAcentral lists this ribosomal RNA (459 nucleotides) under uncultured bacterium. Its description in RNAcentral is "partial 16S ribosomal RNA". It matches the Rfam family "Bacterial small subunit ribosomal RNA", at positions 338 to 795 of the family's 1533-position model. The record is from RNAcentral.
CCUACGGGCGGCAGCAGUGAGGAAUAUUGGUCAAUGGACGGGAGCCUGAACCAGCCAAGCCGCGUGAAGGAAGAAGGCGCCAUGCGUCGUAAACUUCUUUUGUCGGGGGAUAAAGGGCGCCACGCGUGGCGUUUUGAGUGUCCCCGAAGAAAAAGCAUCGGCUAAUUCCGUGCCAGCAGCCGCGGUAAUACGGAGGAUGCGAGCGUUAUCCGGAUUUGUUGGGUUUAAAGGGUGCGUAGGCGGUCCGGAAAGUCAGCGGUAAAAUCCCGGGGCUCAACCCCGGCGAGCCGGUGAAACUGGCGGACUAGAGACGGCGGGAGGUAGGCGGAAUGCGUGGUGUAGCGGUGAAAUGCAUAGAUAUCGCGCAGAACUCCGAUUGCGAAGGCAGCGUACCGGCGCCGGACUGACGCUGAGGCACGAAAGCGUGGGUAUCGAACAGGAUUAGAUACCCGAGUAGUC